AUGAUUCACAGAGGAGAGGGAUCUGAAGGAGGCGGCGGGGAUGGCGUACAGGCGGCUCACGGAGGCAGAGGAUUGGCGCCUCACGCCGACGGGCGAGCCCAUGGGUGCUCUCAGGAUGUUGCUCUGGGCGAUGGAGGAGUCGGAGUCCGACGACCCCAAGAAGGAGAUGAAGUGGAGAGCGUUUCGAUCCCGCCGCUGCAAUCCUGCGGGUCCGACGGAGUUCGUCGUCGGAGCAGUGAUGGGCCUCCCGGUGCCGGAUCCUACGGCGGUGAAGGAGGAGGCAUUGGGGGACCCGAUGGUCAACGCUACAGAGGAGGGAGUGAAGCCUGGUGCGAGGAAGAAGAAGGCGAGGUGGUCGCUGGUGAUAAGGCGAUCCCCGUGCUUCCCUUGUCGGUCGCCGCGUCUGCUCUGCCUCGCCCGCCGCGCGCGUGGAUAGGAGCCUCGCCGGCGGGCAGUCGCUUCUGGCUGCUCGCCGGUGAGGUCUCCAACGGGGAGGCUGGGCCCUCGUCGGUGUUGCAAGGUAAAACUUCUUCUCCCAGUAAAUAUCUUGUCGGUUGUGAAACAGAGAUCUCUGUUGACAAAAUUAGAAUGAACAAGCAAAGCCGAUUGGCUGCUAGUAAUGGGGAUAAGAUCGUAAAUAGACCAUGUUUUGGUCCUGUCUUUGGGGAAACAUAUUCAGAAAGGAAAGUGGGUGGGGGAAUUGGUGACAGAAAUAAAAACAAGGUGAGAGAUGUUGAUCUCAACAAAUCUAUCAGGAAAAAUGAUAAAAAUUAUGGCACUGGAUCUACUAUAGAAUCCAGUUGCAAGGUAGAUCCAGACCUGAUUAGAAGAAGCAUAUAUAUAGCUGAAAAAAUGAGUUGUGCAAAUUAUGUACAAAUCCCAGAUUUCUGGUCAAGUGAUUGUGUACAUCUAGAUAAUAUGGUUAUUGAUAGAUGUCAAGUAUCAGUACCUAUAGGGAUUUUGGGUAGAUAUGGUAAGUCUUCCCCCACUUGGGGUAAAAAGGUAGCUGAUAAAGAUGGGCAAAAAAUGGACAAAGCAAAAGGGGAGGCGGUUUUUAGCAAUACGCUUUCCCAAGCCUUUCUGACUAUAAACAGUGCGCCUCUUCUCUGCUUUGAGAAAGAGUGCGAUCCCCUUGAGGAUUUAGGGUUUACCCUUCCCCCGUCGCCACUGGGUAAAAGUGAAGAGAGAGAGACGAUGAACAGGGGGCCUGGAGGAUAUCGAGGGGGUGGAAGAUUCAAUAGGGGAAGGAGGGACAAUUUCCAGUAUAGAAGAAAGGAAGAAGAGCUUGACAGAUUUAGAGAAAUAUACCCCAACAAUGAGAGAAGAGGUGGAAGAUUUGGGUACAGGGAGGAGACUGGGAAAUCUAAUCAGCAAGUGGAGGAAGAGAAGAGAGGGAUGGCAGAUCUGAAGCUUCCUUCGAGCUCCAAGGAAGAAUUUGUGAAGAGGAUGGAAGAGGAUCAGAGAGCUAGAGAUCUCAAAGGAAAAGAGGAUGUGGUGAUACAUGUUUCUUCUUUCGAUCUGAUCCAACAGCAGCAGUGGUUUGGGGCUUUGAUGGCCCAGAUGGCCCAACAAAAGAUGGAAAGCUCGUCUGGGGGUGGAAUUGUUACCCCCUGA
This 1614-nucleotide ribosomal RNA is filed under the name Triticum aestivum (bread wheat). Its description in RNAcentral is "partial small subunit ribosomal RNA". The record is from RNAcentral. Lineage: Eukaryota; Viridiplantae; Streptophyta; Magnoliopsida; Poales; Poaceae.